AGUGAACGCUGGCGGUGGGCCUAAUACAUGCAAGUAGAACGGUAGCACAUGAAGAGUUUGCUCAGAGGGGUGGCUGGUGGCGGAUGGGUGAGGAAUAGAUCAGAUGCCAGGUAGUGGGGGGGGACUAUUUGAGGAGAUAGAUGCUAACACCUCAGAGUAGAUGUUGGAUAAAAUAUGCUUACUUGGUACCAUGCGCGAAUUAAUAAGUCGACGUGGGAUGAGCUAGUUGGUGAGUGAGCUCCCCACCAAGGCAACGAUACAUAGCUAGCCUGAGAGGGUGAGCGGCCACACUGGGACUUAGACACGGCCCAGACUCCUACGGGAGGCAGCAGUAGGGAAUCUUCGGCGAUUGACGGAAGUCUGACCGAGCAACGCCGCGUGAGUGAAGAAGGGUUUCGGAUCGUAAAGCUCUGUUGUAAGAGAAGAACGAGUGUGAGAGUGGAAAGUUCACACUGUGACGGUAGCUUACCAGAAAGGGACGGCUAACUACGUG
Molecule: ribosomal RNA, 493 nt
Filed under: uncultured bacterium
Lineage: Bacteria
Description: partial 16S ribosomal RNA
Rfam family: Bacterial small subunit ribosomal RNA
Source: RNAcentral